This 5875-nucleotide long non-coding RNA is filed under the name Homo sapiens (human). Its description in RNAcentral is "non-protein coding TUG1:71". The stretch from base 1481 to 1717 matches the Rfam family "Taurine upregulated gene 1 conserved region 3". Lineage: Eukaryota; Metazoa; Chordata; Mammalia; Primates; Hominidae. The record is from RNAcentral.
GAGGCCUAGAUGUCAUUUGGGACCCUUCACAACCAUUUUGAAGCCCUGUUUGAGUCCCUGGGAUAUGUGAGCUGUUUCUAUGCAUAAUGGAUAUUCGGGGUUAACAACAGUCCCCUGCUUGGCUUCUAUUCUGAAUCCUUUUCUUUCACCAUGGGGUGCCUGAAGGGUGGCUGAUGCAUAUGGUACAAUGGCACCCAGUGUAAAGCAGCUACAAUUAGGAGUGGAUGUGUUCUGUAGCAUCCUAUUUAAAUAAGCCUAUUUUAUCCUUUGGCCCGUCAACUCUGUUAUCUGCUGCUUGUACUGGUGCCUGUACUUUUCUGACUCUCAUUGACCAUAUUCCACGACCAUGGUUGUCAUCCAUUACUUGAUCCUACUUUACAUGUCUAGGCUGUGUGGUUGGUGGUGAAUAGGCUUCUUUUUACAUGGUGCUGCCAGCCCAGCUAAUUAAUGGUGCACGUGGACUUUUAGCAAGCGGGCUCACUGGAAGAGACUGAACCUGGCAUGGAAUUCCUGAAGAUGUUUGGGGUUUUUUUCUUUCUUAAUCGAAAGUUAACAUUGUCUGAAAAGUUUUGUUAGAACUACUGCGGAACCUCAAAAUCAGUAGAUUUGGAAGUGAUUCAAAGCUAAACUUUUUCCUUGGCCCUCCUUGUGUUCUAAUUGCUUGCAAGUGUAAUACUAGGAUGUCCAAGAUGCCAGUUUUUGCUUCUUUGUUAGUUGUCAGCUGCUUUUAUCAAAUUUCAGGCCAUUAUCCAACAAACACUAUAAAAAUGUUUGAACAAUUGGAUUUCAAACAUUUUCGUUUUGUGGAGUGGUGCUCACCAAGUGGUACAGCCCUAAGCAAGUGAACACAAACACAUUUAAGUGUAUUUUGUCUGAUUAGAUGUUAGCCAGUUAUGCUAUUUCAUUCAAAUGUCUGAAAAAAUCAAUUGACUAUUCCCUUUUCCUAAAGGGCAGAGACAGAUAAUCUCACUUCCAGAGAAAUGACUUGGAGAAAAAAAAGUGUUGGUCUUUUUGCUCUUUUGUAAUUAAAUCCGGAUGUACCUCAAAAGACUUAAGACUGUGGUGAUAAGAUGCUUUCCUCAGCAGAAAGGAGGGAAAAAAAACAACUGGAACUCAAAGCUUGAAAUUCUGUGGCAAAACAUGAGAUGUCCAGGAUUGGAGGUUGAAAAGAUUUCACUACAGUGUUCUGCAAUAGUUGGAGCAGAUAACUUUCAGUGUAGCCACAGCCAUGGACUCCAGAUUUCCAGAUUUUCAAGACCUGGACCUGGAACCCGAAAGAGCUUGUCACGAUGCGGCAGGAACACUGGAGGUAGAUUUUUUUUUAUUUUUGAAUUUUGGGACUGUUGACCUUGCUGUGAGAAAAGAGACAACGACUGAGCAAGCACUACCACCAGCACUGUUACUGGGAAUUAGAAGACCUGAGUUUCUGUCCAGACCCUCAGUGCAAACUGAGGAUGCUCCAUCCAAAGUGAAUUAUGUCCUGUGCCUCCUGAUUGCUGAGUGUUCACCUGGACCUUCUGACUACCUUCCCUGUGCUAUUCCAUCAGCCUACAGACCUGGUACCUGGAUUUUUGCCCGAGAUGAUUCCUACCACCUUACUACUGACGAAGACACCCAUUCCAGUGGACCACUGUGACCCAGGAGGCAUUCAGCCAUCAUGAUGUGGCCUUUACCUCCACUCCUGUCUUGUUCUACCCAGAUUCAGCACAGCCCUUUAUAGUGAAGUCAGAGUCCUCAAGCCAAAUAGCUAAAGCUGUUUUAUCACAACAAAGGCCUAGUUUGUUCCAUGAGUGUGCAUUUCAUUUCUUCAGUUAAAGCCUUCAGAGACACACAAUAAAUUUGGACCAGGGGAUUUUUUAGUUAUUAAUGCUCUCUGAAGAAAGGCAACAUCUUUUUGAGAGCAGCAUUGGACCACACCCCACAAUCUCAAAUGAUUGAAAUUCAUGAACAUCUAGGAUCCCGUGAAGGUCACUGGACCCUGUUUUUUCUACUUCAAAUCCUGUAGUAGCCUACUGAAUGAGAAAACAUAUUCUGACCCAUUGGGAUCAAAUCAAAGGCACAGUGAACUCCUCAUAGCAUCUUCUUUGGAAUUACUCAGGAACCAGAACUUUUUACACAAAUGUAAGAAAUUCUACCAAGGAGUCCCCUUACCUAACAGCAUCUCACAAGGCUGCACCAGAUUCCAGAAAAGGCUUCUCUUGAUACAUCAAGGUAGAACCUCUAUGCAUUUUGUGACCGACUUAUUCUUAGAUCAUUGGUUUUCCAAAGGCUUUGUGGCCAUGAAGCCCUUUGAGUGAAAACUGUGCAGAAGCCCAGAGUAAAAGUGAAGCUGCUCUGGAUGAAGUAGUGAAGCAAGAGUAGGGGCCUGAAUCCUGCUACAACUAUCUUCCUUUACCACCGUGGUGACACCUAAGGGGACUUCCUUACAACACCUUGAACUCUUCCGAACACAGUUUGAAAACCACUGCCCCAGACAGCAAUAUGUUUGACCUGAAUGGCAUUCCAAUCUUUUCUGUACCUCCACUCAGCACAGUUCAUGUUCAGUAGAUGCUGAACAUUCUUAGAAAUACUGUGUGUGAACUUAGAAAAGUGCAAGAAGACAGGCAUGUCUUUGACCCCAGGAAUGAUCAUUUGCUGAAGAUGGUGUCAAGUGAACCUAGAUUAACAGCCCUCCACUCCAGAUGGAUAUCCAGUGAUUCCUAGAAUGGGAUAUAGCCAGAGAACAAUUCUAUGCACCCUACACUGACAGACUCCCUUAAGCAACACCAGAUGCUCUACUGGUACUUGAAGUACAUGACUUUGAAGUCUUGACCCUCCAUGAAUACCUGAAUUAUCAGCAAGCGGGUUUUGAAGCUGGUGCCUCAUUGAGGCCAUAUUAGAGCAACUUGUACAUUUGACCUCUUGUUAUCAGCCAUGGUACUCUACUUCGUGUGCAAGAGAUAACUAUGAAAGCCAAAUUCAAAUACUGGCAACAUUUCCUAAAGGGGCUCAAUAUCUAUCAUUCGUCUUCUUUUCCAAACUACACAUCACUGUAUGACUCAACCAGUAGCAGUUAUAUUGCCCCUUGGUUUUUAUUCAGUUUAACUACUGUUUCCAAGAUAAAUGAGCUAAUAAGCUUUAAAAAAAAAAAAAAAAAAGGCUGAAUUCUUUUUUCUUCAUCACUGGCAUAUCUGCCUAUUCUCCAGAAUUAUUAUGACUAUUCAGCUCACUUUAACAGUUGAACUUCAAGCGACAAUCUUUGAACACCCCUUCUCAUGUGAUUUAAAAUGAAACCAUUUGGAAAAGUUUCUUCUAGCCAGUAAUAGAUUUUUUUUUUAAUUGCUCUGCCUUGUGCCGAGAGAUGUUCUUUUAAGAUGAAUCUUUUGAUGUCUGAUACCACCAAAUAUAGGUGGUAGGGAGAGUUGGAGGCUGGCCCUUUGAGCAGGCCAUUAGCUUACUUGCUGGGCAUUUCCGAUAGCUUAUUGCCUACCUUUUUGCUGGAAACAAACUGAUUUGAAAAACAAAAUCUAUGAAGACUGCAGCUAAGGAUUUUAUCGGUAGACUUAAGAGCUUUUGUCCUUGUGGAUAUUUUAGUGGAACCACAUCAGUCUCAAUACUGUCAUUUUACACUGACUCAGAGCAGCUGACUUCAUUCCUUGCCAUGAUAUAUAUUUAAGGCAGGCAUUGUAACAGACAUAAAGACAACUUAUCUGUUUCAGCAGGAAGGAUUCAGUUUAUGAACUCUCAGACCAGAUCAUGUUGAACAAGGAGACUUUGAUGUGUGUCAUGAGAAAACUCAUUCUUUACUUCCCAGUCAAUUUAAAGGCCAGCUAUCCUGAGCUACUCGAAUGAAUGCACUGGUUAAACAUUGGAAAUAGUUUGUUUAUAUCCUUGUCUCUCUCUAGGCCAAUUGUGAUUACAUGACUCGACUCUACAUCUCGUCAAACAAGGCCUAGGUCUGGUUGCUGUAGACUGCUCGCCCUCAACAAAUAAAAUCUGGUUGACUAGCCUCCUUGUAUAUACAACUAUUAUUUGUUAAGAAGAAAUUAUCGUCAAUUUUCUACUACCUUCCAAUUGUCAGCUCUUUUUUUCCUCUCUGGUUUUUCCUAUACUUUACAGAAAAAGACAUUGAUCUAUACUGCCAUUCCCUCUAAUCCUGCCAUACUCAGUCAAAAGGAAUGACUUAAGAUGAAGAUGAUCAUCUGCUCGAGUCUAAAAUAUACAUUGUAUAUAAGAAUUGGUGAUUAGAAAAGCAAAAAACCUAAAACUUAAAUCUAGGAGUCUGUAUACUGUCUCCAUGUCUCCAUGCCUCAGAUCUCAUCUAAAUCUUUGAACAGCACCAUUCAACCAAUCUGAGGCCUUGACUUGCUUGUAAGAUGAUUCUCAGAGAUCGGCUGAGUUAAAAAAGAUGACGACUUGAUUACCAAAGAAAGUAGGGCCAACUUUGACAAAUCUGGCUCUGCUGACCCUGUCACUCCCAGAUGUAGCAUAGACUCCUAAACAGAACCUCAAGUCUGAUUGAGGAUAAGGCCUUCUCCUGAGCUGAAAGUUCUUUGGCAGAUGAGCAAGAAACUGAAAGCUGAUGUACCUGACUGGCUCUGUAAGAUCAGAAAACUGUAUCCAGAAUAAGCCCUAUGGAUUAACCCCUGAGUACCCAGAGUAAAAACUAAUUUACAGAACUUCCUUAUUGAUCUGCUGGUUCUUCCAGAUCAUAUUCUGGCUAUUGGUAUGGCUGGCCUUUCUGAAGGUACCCUGCUUGUCUAUUUUCCUGACUCAGCUCUUGCCUGCCUUUUUCACAUGUUGCUGCAAUUAGACUCACCGUGAGGACUACAGUCAAUUUCAGUCUAUCUUGUGCCCAAUACAACAAGGAUUUUUAAUAGUAACAACCCACACCUCACCCACUAGGACUCAAUGUUCACAACAGGAAGGACCAUUGCUGCAUACUCCUUGACCAGCAACUUUUUUGAAGAUAUUUUUAAGUGCAGAGUAGGCCUCUAUUCCUGUAUGUAAUUGUUCAUUUUCAGCACCUGGAACCUCAUCUAUCGGGUCUGGAAGGAAUACAGCAGUUCGAAAGCCGCGUCCAUUUCUCUCCUUCAGUAGUGCAGAAAUGAGUCCGAUUCACCAGUACACACAGAACUGUACCAGUUCAACCUAGCAAAAGAAGAAAAGUUUCCACUGUACUUAAAAUUUACAGCUGACUCAAAUUGCCUCACAGAAUUAUUUGAUGUAGAAGGCUAGUUGUCUUACUUCAGAUCAGCAGGACAGUUGGGCUCUCAGACUCAUGACCACUGAGUUUGCUUGUGUUGAAACUGUGGUUUCAUCCAACAUAUGCUAUUGGACAUGAUUAUUAUUCCAUUCAAAUGGAUUACAGACUUCUUGAGGACAGGACAAACUUAUCUCUCAUGGUGUUUUUUUAGAAUACUUUUAUAACCAAGGAAGAAACCAUGCCAGCUGUUACCAUUCAACUUCUUAAGCAGAGAUUAAGCUUUUUCAUAUCUGUUCUUAUCCUGGACAUCAGUAGUUUUUAAUUGCCCAGCAUCCGUUCCAUCUUGUAACAACUCCCUGAUGUUUCUUAAAACCACCUCUUCCUAUUUUCAGUCUGUGGUUUGGACAGUCUGACCCAACCUUGAGCUUUGUGGGUGAACAUGUAAUUCAGACCUCAUCAAUCAGCAAAUCCAUCUGAACUGUGGAGGAGAAGCUCUCUUUACUGAGGGUGCUUUAGCUUUGUAGGAUGAAAACCUCAAACUAACAGGGCCUACCAUGUAGAGAAUGAAGCCAGUGCAGGGGAAAGCAGAGCCAAAAUAUGGAGAGACUUGAAUCCUGAUGACAGCGUUUGUGCCCCUGGAUCCAACCGUGCCUGAAGCUAGAAUAUCCCCUGGACUUUUCAGUUAUGUGA